Molecule: long non-coding RNA, 386 nt
Organism: Alosa sapidissima (American shad)
Lineage: Eukaryota; Metazoa; Chordata; Actinopteri; Clupeiformes; Clupeidae
Exons: 3
Source: RefSeq, a predicted model, not a curated record
UGUAGCUGUGUGUAGCAGAACAAGGCUUACUUCCUCCCUCUGGUCAGUCCGUGCGCUGUUUCUACAUGAUCCUUCCUUCGGAGGUUGGUUGGGGGCCCCCCUACUAAGACUACUGGUAAGAGGCCCCAAGCAGCCGCCUUAGACCGCCUCUGAUGAUGCAUCAUAAAACUGACAACUCCAGCAUCCUCUGCGCUCGGGCGAAGUGGUCCAUCUUCUCAAAGGCGCGCACCUUCCCCAGGAAGGACUUGAGCGACGGGUCCUCGGGGGUCUCCUCGGUCUGCUCACGACCGGCCAGUGCCGGGGCCGGCCCCUGCGGUGGCAGCGGCUGGAUGUCGACGACGGGCGGGCCCCGGGAGACGCGGGAUGCAGAGGAAGGCCUGAGGGCG